Molecule: telomerase RNA, 96 nt
Filed under: [Emmonsia] crescens
Lineage: Eukaryota; Fungi; Ascomycota; Eurotiomycetes; Onygenales; Ajellomycetaceae
Description: Emmonsia crescens Ascomycota telomerase RNA
Rfam family: Ascomycota telomerase RNA
Source: Rfam by way of RNAcentral
GCGGUUUUUGAGGAUGUCUUUUGUCCGCUUUCAAAUGCCCUCCAACUUUUCUGGUUUUAUUUUCAGCCUAGUUUGGAGAGGAAACAAAAACUAGUC